This 724-nucleotide long non-coding RNA is filed under the name Homo sapiens (human). RNAcentral's name for it is "non-protein coding lnc-LRRC24-2:7". The record is from RNAcentral. Lineage: Eukaryota; Metazoa; Chordata; Mammalia; Primates; Hominidae.
CAGGCAUGGAAGCAGAAGUGGCGGAAGAAAGGGGAGUGUUUUGGGGGUGGUGGUGCCACAGUCACAACCAAGGAGUCUUGUUUCCUGAACGAGCAGUUCGAUCACUGGGCAGCCCAGUGUCCCCGGCCAGCAAGUGAGGAAGACACAGAUGCUGUUGGGCCUGAGCCACUGGUUCCUUCACCACAACCUGUACCUGAGGUGCCCAGCCUGGACCCCACCGUGCUGCCACUCUACUCCCUGGGGCCCUCAGGGCAGUUGGCAGAGACGCCGGCUGAGGUGUUCCAGGCCCUGGAGCAGCUGGGGCACCAAGCCUUUCGCCCUGGGCAGGAGCGUGCAGUCAUGCGGAUCCUGUCUGGUGCCGGCAAGUCCCUGUGCUACCAGCUCCCAGCGCUGCUCUACAGCCGGCGCAGCCCCUGCCUCACGUUGGUCGUCUCUCCCCUGCUGUCACUCAUGGAUGACCAGGUGUCUGGCCUGCCACCGUGUCUCAAGGCGGCCUGCAUACACUCGGGCAUGACCAGGAAGCAACGGGAAUCUGUCCUGCAGAAGAUUCGGGCAGCCCAGGUACACGUGCUGAUGCUGACACCUGAGGCACUGGUGGGGGCGGGAGGCCUCCCUCCAGCCGCACAGCUGCCUCCAGUUGCUUUUGCCUGCAUUGAUGAGGCCCACUGCCUCUCCCAGUGGUCCCACAACUUCCGGCCCUGCUACCUGCGCGUCUGCAAGGUGA